UACGGAGGGUGCGAGCGUUAAUCGGAAUUACUGGGCGUAAAGCGCACGCAGGCGGUUUGUUAAGCUAGAUGUGAAAGCCCCGGGCUCAACCUGGGAUGGUCAUUUAGAACUGGCAGACUAGAGUCUUGGAGAGGGGAGUGGAAUUCCAGGUGUAGCGGUGAAAUGCGUAGAUAUCUGGAGGAACAUCAGUGGCGAAGGCGACUCCCUGGCCAAAGACUGACGCUCAUGUGCGAAAGUGUGGGUAGCGAANAGG
This 253-nucleotide ribosomal RNA is filed under the name uncultured bacterium. RNAcentral's name for it is "partial 16S ribosomal RNA". It matches the Rfam family "Bacterial small subunit ribosomal RNA", at positions 524 to 776 of the family's 1533-position model. The record is from RNAcentral.